UGGGGAAUAUUGGGGCAAUGGACGCAAGUCUGACCCAGCAACGCCGCGUGAAGGAAGAAGGCUUUCGGGUUGUAAACUUCUUUUAAGAGGGAAGAGCAGAAGACGGUACCUCUUGAAUAAGCCACGGCUAACUACGUGCCAGCAGCCGCGGUAAUACGGAGGAUGCGAGCGUUAUCCGGAUUUAUUGGGUUUAAAGGGUGCGCAGGCGGCGCGAAAAGUCAGCGGUCAAAGUUCCGGGCUCAACCCGGUGACGCCGUUGAAACUUUCGGGCUGGAGUUCGUGCGAGGGAGGCGGAAUGCGUUGUGUAGCGGUGAAAUGCAUAGAUAUGACGCAGAACCCCGAUUGCGAAGGCAGCUUUCCAGCACGCGACUGACGCUGAGGCACGAAAGCGUGGGGAGCGAACAGGAUUAGAUACCCUGGUAGU
RNAcentral lists this ribosomal RNA (424 nucleotides) under uncultured Oscillibacter sp. RNAcentral's name for it is "bacterial SSU rRNA". It matches the Rfam family "Bacterial small subunit ribosomal RNA", at positions 355 to 794 of the family's 1533-position model. Lineage: Bacteria; Bacillati; Bacillota; Clostridia; Eubacteriales; Oscillospiraceae. The record is from RNAcentral.